Molecule: ribosomal RNA, 471 nt
Filed under: Triticum aestivum (bread wheat)
Lineage: Eukaryota; Viridiplantae; Streptophyta; Magnoliopsida; Poales; Poaceae
Description: partial small subunit ribosomal RNA
Source: RNAcentral
AUGUCGAUCACCUCCACCGCCGCCGCCGGGACCCCGGUCUGCCGGCCGUCCGUCUCCAGGGGUGGACGGCGGAGCAGGUGCGCCGUCCGAGCCCAAGCGGCCGGAGACGGUGGAGCCGCCGCCGACGGGGCGUCGUCGGAGCAGAAGUCUCUGGAGAUAAUGCGCAAGUUCUCGGAGCAGUACGCCCGCCGCUCCAGCACCUUCUUCUGCUCCGACAAGUCCGUCACCGCCGUCGUCAUCAAGGGCCUUGCUGACCACAAGGAUCAACUCGGAGCACCUCUCUGCCCCUGCAGGCAUUACGACGACAAGGCCGCCGAGGCCGCGCAAGGGUUCUGGAACUGCCCGUGCGUCCCCAUGCGAGAAAGGAAGGAGUGCCAUUGCAUGCUUUUCCUUACGCCCGACAACGAUUUUGCCGGAGAGGACCAGGCCAUCAGCUUGGAGGAGAUCAAGGAGGCGACGUCCAAGUACUAA